RNAcentral lists this long non-coding RNA (240 nucleotides) under Homo sapiens (human). Its description in RNAcentral is "HSALNT0362725". The record is from RNAcentral. Lineage: Eukaryota; Metazoa; Chordata; Mammalia; Primates; Hominidae.
GUUGCCCAACCUGGAGCGCAAUGGCCCGAUCUCGGCUCACUGCAACCUCCACCUCCCAGGUGCAAACCAUUCUCCUGCCUCAGCCUCCCAAGUAGCUCAGAUUACAGGCGCUCACCACCAUGCCCAGCUAAUUUUUGUAUUUUUAGUAGAGACAGGGUUUCACCAUGUUAGUGAGGCUGGUCUCGAACUUCUGACCUCGUGAUCCGCCCGCCUCGGCCUCCCAAAGUGCUGGGAUUACAG